Molecule: unclassified non-coding RNA, 1054 nt
Filed under: Hevea brasiliensis (rubber tree)
Lineage: Eukaryota; Viridiplantae; Streptophyta; Magnoliopsida; Malpighiales; Euphorbiaceae
Source: RNAcentral
ACAAAGGUAUGUUUUGUUUUUAUUGUUCUACUUAUGAAUGUCUCUCACUUAAAUGCACAAAGAGGUACACUAUGCUGCUUAUUUAGAUUUGGAGUAUAAAUUGGAGUUUAGCAUUCUCUGUAACCAGUAUUCAGGAAUUUAUAACCUAGUUUUGAGUUUUACAUGUGAAUGCUGUAAUUUAGUACAUAUAUUCAUUAGUAUCAUAUAUGAAAUUAUGACCUAGAGUGUUCAAUUCUGCAAAUAUUAGUUACGAUGCCUUUGAAUGAGAGGCCUUCGUCAGAUGCAGGAGUGUCUGUGCAGCAAACUGCGGACUGGGUUAAGAUGGUUCAUUUUGUUUGAUUUUUGUGUGAUAGGUGUCCAUCUCAUGAUAUGGUGUUAGUCUACCUGUUUCUCAUCUAUGUUGGGCAUGAGUAUUUGUUUCAGAUAAUUUAAUCAUAAUGUUGGUGUGAUGACUGAUGAGUAUUAGUUCCAAGAUUUGGUCUUGGUCUGCCUUGUUUUCAUCUAUAUUUGUCACUCAAAUUGGCAUGCAUGCCCGGGGUAAGUACAAAUAAGGUUUUUGUCACUAAAUCCCUGUAAUACAUUGGCAGUUUAAAUAAAUUAAUAAAAUCUGGUACAGUGAUGCAGCCUUAAUAUUUCAGUGGGGACAUUAGUAGGCAAUAUAUUUUAUUCGUGUUGGAAAGCUAUGCAACAAAUAUUAAGCGAAAGAAGUAGUUUAUGGAAAUUCAUAGUGACAUGGGAUGAGUUUCAUCUCACUUUUGUUCGGUGUAUAUAAGGUUGUCAAAGGAUGCUGGCAUUUUUGCAUAUACCCUUUUGUUUCUUUGUCAUUUAUUUCUUGUAUGUUGCAAUGUGGCUUCAAGCUAGUUUUCUAUAUUUUAAAGCUCAUUUUAAGUGUAUCCGUGUAUCCAUUUUGGGAAACUAAUGGUAAAUAUUAGGUAGUAUUUCAAACUCCAUGGUUCUUUUUUUACUAUACAUAUCGUUGCGAUAAAUUUUUCAUGUUAAUGGUUUCAAGGCUAGCCUUUUUGCUAGAAUAACAUGAAUAUCUAGUUUCUGUUGU